This 391-nucleotide ribosomal RNA is filed under the name uncultured bacterium. RNAcentral's name for it is "partial 16S ribosomal RNA". It matches the Rfam family "Bacterial small subunit ribosomal RNA", at positions 524 to 918 of the family's 1533-position model. The record is from RNAcentral.
UACGGAGGAUCCUAGCGUUAUCCGGAUUUAUUGGGUUUAAAGGGUGCGCAGGCGGCCAUUUAAGUCAGCGGUUAAAUCGUGGGGCUCAACCCCAUUCUGCCGUUGAUACUGGGUGGCUUGAUUGCGGUCGAGGUUGGCGGAAUUCGUUGUGUAGCGGUGAAAUGCAUAGAUAUGACGAAGAACACCGAUUGCGUAGGCAGCUGACCAGAUCGCAAAUGACGCUCAUGCACGAAAGUGCGGGGAUCGAACAGGAUUAGAUACCCUGGUAGUCCGCACAGUAAACGAUGAAUACUUGUUUUCGGCGAUAUAAUGUCGGAGGCAAAGCGAAAGCGAUAAGUAUUCCACCUGGGGAGUACGCCGGCAACGGUGAAACUCAAAUGAAUUGACGGGG